AUGGAGUCUUGCUCUGUCUCCCAGGCUGGAGUGCAGUGGUGUGAUCUUGACUCACUGCAAGCUCCAUCCACUGGGUUCAUGCCAUUCUCCUGCCUCAGCAGCUGGGACUACAGGUGCCCGCCACCACGCCUGGCUAAUGUUUUGUAUUUUUAGUAGAGACGGGGUUUCACUGUGUUAGCCAGGAUGGUCUCGAUCUCCUGACCUCGCGAUCCGCCCACCUCAGCCUCCCAAAGUGUUGGAAUUACAGGUGUGAGCCACCACGCCCGGCCAAUACAUUCUUUAAUUCACCAAGUAUUUGCUAAGCAUCUGUUAUGUGUCAAGUUCUGUACUAGCAACUAAGGACCAAUGACAAAUAAGACUUAGUCCCCACUAGGUAACUUAACAGUUCUCAGGGGUAGGUAGAGAUGUCAAUAAGUCAUUGCAAUAGAGUGUGAUAAGGGCCCCAGGAGAGACACAAAGUUUUGUGGCACAUAGAAGCAGAGAAGGUUUAACAGAAGAGGUAUUUUUUUUUUUUUUUGAGACAGGAUCUCACUGUGUUGCCCAGGCUGGAGUGCAGUGGUGCAGUUAUAGCUCACUGCAACUUCCACCUCACGGGUUCAAGUGAUUCUCCCACCUCAACCUCCUGAGUAGCUGGGACUACAGGUACAUGCCACCAUACCUAACUAAUUUCUGUACUUUUGUAAAGAUGGGUUUUCACCCCAUUGGCCAGGCUGGUCUCCAACUGCUGACCUCAAGUUAUCCUCCCACCUGAGCCUCCCAAAGUGCUGGGAUUACAAGCGUGAGCCACCACACCCAGCCUGAAGCAGUCAUAUUUUACCUGAGUUGUAAACAAUUAAUAAAAAUUGCCAAAUAAAUAAGGGGUACAUGAUCAUCUGAGAAAAUCAUCAUCAUCAGCACCAUCAUCAUCAGUACCACCACCAUCACUCUGUAAUUACCUCCUAUGUGCCAGACAUUCUACUAAGCCUUCCGUAUAUAUUAACUCAUUUGAUCCUCUCAGCAAACCACAAGGAGGUAUUGUAAUCCCCACUCUGGAGUCCUGUUUUCCAAAGGGAGGAGGAACUUCCCUUCUGGUCUCUAGGAUAAGAGAGGAGGCCUGUCUGAGUAAAU
This 1107-nucleotide long non-coding RNA is filed under the name Papio anubis (olive baboon). RNAcentral's name for it is "lncRNA (ENSPANG00000049207.1)". The record is from RNAcentral. Lineage: Eukaryota; Metazoa; Chordata; Mammalia; Primates; Cercopithecidae.